RNAcentral lists this ribosomal RNA (164 nucleotides) under uncultured bacterium. Its description in RNAcentral is "partial 16S rRNA". It matches the Rfam family "Bacterial small subunit ribosomal RNA", at positions 355 to 511 of the family's 1533-position model. The record is from RNAcentral.
UAGGGAAUCUUCCACAAUGGACGAAAGUACUGAUGGAGNAACGCGCGUGAGUGAAGAAGGGUUUCGGCUCGUAAAACUCUGUUGUUAAAGAAGAACAUAUCUGAGAGUAACUGUUCAGGUAUUGACGGUAUUUAACCAGAAAGCCACGGCUAACUACGUGCCAG